Cyprinus carpio (common carp) is the source of this 697-nucleotide long non-coding RNA. Lineage: Eukaryota; Metazoa; Chordata; Actinopteri; Cypriniformes; Cyprinidae. The record is from Ensembl.
CCACGCUGGCCCUGAUUUAUGGCCAUCUCAGUCGGACUCCCUACCAAAUCCACCCGCUGCCUUUCUUGUUCAGUGGAGAUGCCUAUGCUUGAGCUGAUAGGAUGUGGUCUGGUUCGUCACACUGAACCUGAGGACACAGCUGAUGCCUCCGAGUAGCACUCUGAUGUUCCCAGUUCCUCCUCUCUCACACAGCAUUAAAAAGUCUGGAUAAAAGGUAAGAAAUAGGCUUUAUUAACUUUAAAUAUGCAUGAUGUUUCUGAGAAAAGUGCAGUGCGGCAUUGAGAAACGUCCAAAAGCUUGACUACUUAUUUUUUCCCUCUUCCUCUCUCCUUCUCAAAAAUAGUUAAUAAUUGAAAACAGAGAAGGAAAGGAAAGGGGGGAAAAGACACCAAGAUUCUGACACACUCUGCAUAAACAUCUGCUUAUUAGUGACCCUAGAUGCCACACACAGUCACAGCGGCUCUGAAGCACCCCGCUGAGAGCUCAGAUGUCAGAGGUCGGCCUUCACCAUCAUAACCUCUACAGACGUGUCUUCCGGUCUUUCACAGAAAAGUGUGAUUAUUCCUGCCAGGGCCCUGUAAGAGGACGUCCUUCAUGGUUCUCUCUCAGUGAUGGAUUAACACCCGGCCGGUUAAUGAAUGACCCUCUUCUGACCUCAGUGUACUGGACCCCGCAGAUGCAUGUGACCUUCCCAUGA